AGUGAACGCUGGCGGUAGGCCUAACACAUGCAAGUCAAACGGCAGCACAGUAAGAGCUUGCUCUUACGGGUGGCGAGUGGCGGACGGGUGAGGAAUACAUCGGAAUCUACUUUUUCGUGGGGGAUAACGUAGGGAAACUUACGCUAAUACCGCAUACGACCUACGGGUGAAAGCAGGGGAUCUUCGGACCUUGCGCGAUUGAAUGAGCCGAUGUCGGAUUAGCCAGUUGGCGGGGUAAAGGCCCACCAAGGCGACGAUCCGUAGCUGGUCUGAGAGGAUGAUCAGCCACACUGGAACUGAGACACGGUCCAGACUCCUACGGGAGGCAGCAGUGGGGAAUAUUGGACAAUGGGCGCAAGCCUGAUCCAGCCAUACCGCGUGGGUGAAGAAGGCCUUCGGGUUGUAAAGCCCUUUUGUUGGGAAAGAAAAGCAGCAGGUUAAUACCCCGCUGUUCUGACGGUACCCAAAGAAUAAGCACCGGCUAACUUCGUG
Molecule: ribosomal RNA, 492 nt
Filed under: uncultured bacterium
Lineage: Bacteria
Description: partial 16S ribosomal RNA
Rfam family: Bacterial small subunit ribosomal RNA
Source: RNAcentral